RNAcentral lists this ribosomal RNA (253 nucleotides) under uncultured bacterium. Its description in RNAcentral is "partial 16S ribosomal RNA". It matches the Rfam family "Bacterial small subunit ribosomal RNA", at positions 524 to 776 of the family's 1533-position model. The record is from RNAcentral.
AACGUAGGAGACAAACGUUAUCCGGAGUUACUGGGCGUAAAGGGCGUGUAGGCGGUUUGUUAAGUCUGGCGUGAAAGCUCUCGGCUAAACCGGGAGAGGUCGUUGGAUACUGGCGAACUAGAGGAUGGUAGAGGCGUGUGGAAUUCCGGGUGUAGUGGUGAAAUGCGUAGAUAUCGGGAGGAACACCAGUGGCGAAGGCGACUACCUGGCCUGUUCUUGACGCUGAGGCGCGAAAGCUAGGGGAGCAAACGGG